UCCUGGCUGGGGGAACAAGAGAAGCAAGGAAGGGUGUUCCUUGCUGGUCACAAGAGUUUGAGAGAGAACCAGAAGAUGGGUUCUGGUGAUAUUUUACACUCAGAAAGGAGGAAGAGGCUCUGAGAACUUCAGCUCUGAGAUAAGGAAGGGGUUCAUUCAAUUCUGAUUGUGUGACUUAGCCUGAGGGCUGAAUCACUGAAGACCCACCUAGUAAGGUCAACAACCUGCAGGAGGUGCCUGUGGCAGGAGAGCUUGCAGCAUCAUAACCAGCAGACAGGAGGUACUCAUGAGAGGUCUUAAUUGAGAAACUGCCAUUGAAGUCUGUGGGAAUUUGUUCAAUAAAGGAGCUCACCACUUGAUCCAAAACUGGAGAUCGAUGCUGCUGUUAUCGAUGCAGCAGGUGUCAAUCUAGUGAAGACCCGCUAAAUUGAUGGCAGAGAACUCUCCGGUCGACCCCGUUAAUUUACUCUUCUUGGGGAGCUGGAGUAAGUCCACUAGAGAGCGUCUCCUGUCGAUGCAGCACAGUGAAGACAUCGGGUGGCUGAAAAGGCUCCACUGCUGUCUGUUUAUUCACCAGAAAAGACCUGCUGUUCCUUUGACAGGUGCACUUUCUGAAUUAGAUACCCAGACCCAGCCAGGAUACUAAUGGAGUGAUGACACUAACCCUACAACAAUAGAGAGGACCUCCAGGAAACUACUCACCGAGGGGCUAAGGUGCAGUGUCCGUCACAGCAGUACAAGAAUGUCUCCAGGGUAUAGGAGUGCCAAAGAGCAUUUAAGAUACAAACUUUCAGGAUCUAAGACCCAAACCUCACACUGUGAUGGAGCCAUCUAUUUCAGUUAAGAUUUUCUCCAGAAGCUAUCUGCAAGAUGAACAAUAAGCCUAUGAAAACAAAGGUACUGACACUUUUCAAAUAGGCUACAGAAGAGAUUUUUUGCAUCUUUUAAAUGGACUAGUGUGAUCUGACUGUCCACAGGAAUUGGCAGCCUGAUAGAGGCAGUGUAGUGCUUACACAGAGUCUGAGAGUAGGCACUACCCAGAAAGUGUCUCUGAUUAAUGGGGUGAAUACUAGCGCUAACAUUUAACUUUUCAUUCAAUCUCCCCUGGAAGCUUGGCUAGUUCUCUAUAUCCUUAAAAAUGAAAUAUUUAUCACAAACAAUAGCAGAAAUAUUUUUCAGGAUGAGGAUAGAUAGAAAUUUCAUGCACAUUUCUUGUCAGCCUGCAGUAAUCAUAAACUAUGGUCGGGGGAGAGGGGGCAUUUUAAUGAGACCUCUUCAUUUCUUUUUUUGGUGACAAUAAUUAAUACUUCUAUUGCUUAAAAAUACUCCUUCACCAACUCUUACUCAGUACUGGUUGGAAACUGGUAACUAUAAGGGUUGGAAUUAAUUUGAAUUAUGCCUGGGAUGAAUUUGGCCCACGAUGUUGCAAAAGACAAAAUUCUGGCUUUUAUAAUUUGUGAACGCUGCAGCCAAAGCCUUUCUCUGUGCCUUGCAAGUAGACUGGCAUAUAUAUAUGAUUCUAGAGAACAUUACCGCAGAAUCAGGCAGACGCUGGAAUGGUUCAGGAUGGAUAUGGUAACAGCUUGUGGCAGGAUGGCAUAGAACAUGUCAGCAGUCAUCCAAGUAAGAUUAGCAGAUUUGGGCAUCUUUUCCAAAGCCAGACGUGCAAGUUACAUGUAAUUAACCAUGUCUCAUAUGAUAUUAAAAAGAAUAACUGAAAUCAUUUGUGGAAAACUAUACAUGUAUAAUUAAAAUUUAUAAAAAGACUUUUCUACAUGUCCACAUUUUUCUUGCAUUUCCUUUUGUUUUAUGCCCUGACUACAGCAAUUCUACAAUAUUAUCCAGUGGAAAUGUUAUUUUAGGAUCUUUAUAUUGUACUAUCAAAAGCUCCCCCCUCCCAUUAUGAAAUACUGUGACUAGAGAAUUUUUCAUAUUGGCAGCCAAAGCACUUGCUCUCAAGUGACAUGCUCAAGAAACUUCUGAAGGGGCACAGACGGUUGAAACACAGAUUUUUCGCCAGUAUAGUAAUUCUUACAGAGUAGUUGCAUAGAGAUACAGCAAUUUAAUAUGCCGUCGUCUGUUUUUUAAAGAAAUGUCACCUUAAUUUA
Chelonia mydas (Green sea turtle) is the source of this 2108-nucleotide long non-coding RNA. RefSeq lists it as uncharacterized. The transcript has 7 exons. Lineage: Eukaryota; Metazoa; Chordata; Testudines; Cheloniidae. The record is from RefSeq and is a predicted model, not a curated record.